AACCUACCUUUUACAGAGGGAUAGCCUUUAGAAAUGAAGAUUAAUACCUCAUAACACUGAUUAUUCGCAUGAGUAAUUAGUUAAAGAUUUAUCGGUAAAAGAUGGCUAUGCGUCCUAUUAGUUAGUUGGUAAGGUAACGGCUUACCAAGGCAUCGAUAGGUAGGGGUCCUGAGAGGGAGAUCCCCCACACUGGUACUGAGACACGGACCAGACUCCUACGGGAGGCAGCAGUGAGGAAUAUUGGGCAAUGGAGGCAACUCUGACCCAGCCAUGCCGCGUGCAGGAAGAAGGUUCUAUGGACCUAAACUGCUUUUAUACAGGAAGAAACCCUCGGACGUGUCCCAGCUUGACGGUACUGUAAGAAUAAGCACCGGCUAACUCCGUGCCAGCAGCCGCGGUAAUACGGAGGGUGCAAGCGUUAUCCGGAAUCAUUGGGUUUAAAGGGUCCGCAGGCGUCAAUUAAGUCAGAGGUGAAAUCCCAUAGCUUAACAUGGAACUGCCUUUGAUACUGGUUGACUGAGUUAUACGGAAGUAGAUAGAAUGUGUAGUGUAGCGGUGAAAUGCAUAGAUAUUACACGAAUACCGAUUGCCAAGGCAGUCUACUACUAUAUACCGACCCUCAUGGACCAAAGCGUGGGGAGCGAACCGGAUUAGAUACCCCGGUAGUCCCCGCCCUAAACCAUGGAUACUAGUUGUUGGGGCUAAGCUCAGUGACUAAGCCAAAGUGAUAAGUAUCCCCACCCCGGGGAGUACCCGUCCCAAGAUUGAAACCCCAAGGAAUUGACGGGGGGCCCGCCCCAAGCCGGUGGAGCACGUGGUUUAAUUCCAUGAUACCCCCAGGAACCCCUACCCAGGGCUUAAAUGUACAGUGACACGGCUAGAAGAUAGCCUUUUUUUCCU
This 900-nucleotide ribosomal RNA is filed under the name CFB group bacterium epibiont of Rimicaris exoculata. Its description in RNAcentral is "bacterial SSU rRNA". It matches the Rfam family "Bacterial small subunit ribosomal RNA", at positions 123 to 1021 of the family's 1533-position model. Lineage: Bacteria; Pseudomonadati. The record is from RNAcentral.